AGAGUUUGAUCAUGGCUCAGGACGAACGCUGGCGGCGUGCCUAACACAUGCAAGUCGAACGGAGCAAAGCCCUUCGGGACUUUACUUAGUGGCGAACGGGUGAGUAACGCGUGAGGAACCUGCCUUCCAGUGGGGGACAACAGUUGGAAACGACUGCUAAUACCGCAUGAUGCUUUUGGGGGACAUCCCCUGAAAGUCAAAGCUUUAUGUGCUGGAAGAUGGCCUCGCGUCUGAUUAGCUAGUUGGUGAGGAAACGGCCCACCAAGGCGACGAUCAGUAGCCGGUCUGAGAGGAUGAACGGCCACAUUGGGACUGAGAUACGGCCCAGACUCCUACGGGAGGCAGCAGUGGGGAAUAUUGCACAAUGGGGGAAACCCUGAUGCAGCGACGCCGCGUGGAGGAAGAAGGUCUUCGGAUUGUAAACUCCUGUUGUUGAGGAAGAUAAUGACGGUACUCAACAAGGAAGUGACGGCUAACUACGUGCCAGCAGCCGCGGUAAAACGUAGGUCACAAGCGUUGUCCGGAAUUACUGGGUGUAAAGGGAGCGCAGGCGGGAAGACAAGUUGGAAGUGAAAUCCAUGGGCUCAACCCAUGAACUGCUUUCAAAACUGUUUUUCUUGAGUAGUGCAGAGGUAGGCGGAAUUCCCGGUGUAGCGGUGGAAUGCGUAGAUAUCGGGAGGAACACCAGUGGCGAAGGCGGCCUACUGGGCACCAACUGACGCUGAGGCUCGAAAGUGUGGGUAGCAAACAGGAUUAGAUACCCUGGUAGUCCACACUGUAAACGAUGAUUACUAGGUGUUGGAGGAUUGACCCCUUCAGUGCCGCAGUUAACACAAUAAGUAAUCCACCUGGGGAGUACGACCGCAAGGUUGAAACUCAAAGGAAUUGACGGGGGCCCGCACAAGCAGUGGAGUAUGUGGUUUAAUUCGACGCAACGCGAAGAACCUUACCAAGUCUUGACAUCCAUCGACGACUAUAGAAAUAUAGUUUUCCUUCGGGACGGUGAGACAGGUGGUGCAUGGUUGUCGUCAGCUCGUGUCGUGAGAUGUUGGGUUAAGUCCCGCAACGAGCGCAACCCUUAUGGUCAGUUACUACGCAAGAGGACUCUGGCCAGACUGCCGUUGACAAAACGGAGGAAGGUGUGGAUGACGUCAAAUCAUCAUGCCCUUUAUGACUUGGGCUACACACGUACUACAAUGGCGUUAAACAAAGAGAAGCAAGACCGCGAGGUGGAGCAAAACUCAGAAACAACGUCCCAGUUCGGACUGCAGGCUGCAACUCGCCUGCACGAAGUCGGAAUUGCUAGUAAUCGCAGAUCAGCAUGCUGCGGUGAAUACGUUCCCGGGCCUUGUACACACCGCCCGUCACACCAUGAGAGCCGGGGGGACCCGAAGUCGGUAGUC
Molecule: ribosomal RNA, 1403 nt
Filed under: metagenome
Description: bacterial SSU rRNA
Rfam family: Bacterial small subunit ribosomal RNA
Source: RNAcentral